Non-coding RNA from Onthophagus taurus, 548 nucleotides. Lineage: Eukaryota; Metazoa; Arthropoda; Insecta; Coleoptera; Scarabaeidae. The record is from RefSeq and is a predicted model, not a curated record.
AGUUGUUUAGAUAGGUGUCGGUAAUGUAGGUGUUUUAGACAGGUGACAGAUAACAUAACCAAAAAAUUUUAUUUUUGACAUUUAAUAUCAAAAUAAUUUGGAUAAUAUAUUUCAAAUUAAAGUUUUUCUUUAUUAAAGCUCAAAAUAAAAAUGUCUUUAUCCCCGUAUUUUAAAACACCCUUCACCGAUAUCACCGGGGCUAUGAUCAGUCACCAAUGGUAUGGGAAAUGUGCUAAACGUGAAAUGGAUAUGAUUGAUUGUUUCGAAGCUUAUGGAUUGGAUAACGCAUUGAAUAAGUGCCACACUUUAAUUGAAGAUUUUAAAGCAUGCUCUAAUAAUCAAGCUCAAGUUAAACGUACGUUUGAAAUGAGAUGGGAGCGUGAUCGACAAUAUUACUCUGGGGAAAGAACUAAAGAAAAUCGUUAUGCUCCCUCACCCAGACCUGAUUCUACAAUUUAAAAUUCCAGUGGAAUUAGUAACUUUAUUUUUAUUUUGUUUUCUUUGUAUAGUUAUUGUAAUAAAAAUAAAUAAAGGGUAGUAUUAAAAAA